RNAcentral lists this transfer RNA (82 nucleotides) under Plesiocystis pacifica. RNAcentral's name for it is "tRNA-Leu". It matches the Rfam family "tRNA". Rfam says of the family: Transfer RNA (tRNA) molecules are approximately 80 nucleotides in length. Their secondary structure includes four short double-helical elements and three loops (D, anti-codon, and T loops). The record is from RNAcentral. Lineage: Bacteria; Pseudomonadati; Myxococcota; Nannocystales; Nannocystaceae. RNAcentral also lists the same sequence under 1 other name.
GCGAGGGUGGCGGAAUUGGUAGACGCGCACGGUUCAGGUCCGUGUGUCUUCGGACGUGGGGGUUCAAGUCCCUUUCCUCGCA